CACAGACACAGAGUGUGUUGGAAUCACUGCAUGGAGACCUCAGAGACGCCAGUGGUUAUCAACCUGCUACUGCCACUGCUACUUCAACUGUUGUGACCAAUAAAUGGAGUAACAUGAAGCAA
Long non-coding RNA from Cheilinus undulatus (humphead wrasse), 122 nucleotides. RefSeq lists it as uncharacterized. Lineage: Eukaryota; Metazoa; Chordata; Actinopteri; Labriformes; Labridae. The transcript is spliced from 2 exons. The record is from RefSeq and is a predicted model, not a curated record.